AAAAAUUUUUUUUUUUUCCUGCUCAGGAUGAACGCUGGCGGCGUGCUAAUACAUGCAAGUCGAACGAGUUCUCGUUGAUGAUCGGUGCUUGCACCGAGAUUCAACAUGGAACGAGUGGCGGACGGGUGAGUAACACGUGGGUAACCUGCCCUUAAGUGGGGGAUAACAUUUGGAAACAGAUGCUAAUACCGCAUAGAUCCAAGAACCGCAUGGUUCUUGGCUGAAAGAUGGCGUAAGCUAUCGCUUUUGGAUGGACCCGCGGCGUAUUAGCUAGUUGGUGAGGUAAUGGCUCACCAAGGCGAUGAUACGUAGCCGAACUGAGAGGUUGAUCGGCCACAUUGGGACUGAGACACGGCCCAAACUCCUACGGGAGGCAGCAGUAGGGAAUCUUCCACAAUGGACGCAAGUCUGAUGGAGCAACGCCGCGUGAGUGAAGAAGGCUUUCGGGUCGUAAAACUCUGUUGUUGGAGAAGAAUGGUCGGCAGAGUAACUGUUGUCGGCGUGACGGUAUCCAACCAGAAAGCCACGGCUAACUACGUGCCAGCAGCCGCGGUAAUACGUAGGUGGCAAGCGUUAUCCGGAUUUAUUGGGCGUAAAGCGAGCGCAGGCGGUUUUUUAAGUCUGAUGUGAAAGCCCUCGGCUUAACCGAGGAAGCGCAUCGGAAACUGGGAAACUUGAGUGCAGAAGAGGACAGUGGAACUCCAUGUGUAGCGGUGAAAUGCGUAGAUAUAUGGAAGAACACCAGUGGCGAAGGCGGCUGUCUGGUCUGUAACUGACGCUGAGGCUCGAAAGCAUGGGUAGCGAACAGGAUUAGAUACCCUGGUAGUCCAUGCCGUAAACGAUGAAUGCUAGGUGUUGGAGGGUUUCCGCCCUUCAGUGCCGCAGCUAACGCAUAAGCAUUCCCGCCCCGG
Molecule: ribosomal RNA, 911 nt
Filed under: Lacticaseibacillus casei
Lineage: Bacteria; Bacillati; Bacillota; Bacilli; Lactobacillales; Lactobacillaceae
Description: bacterial SSU rRNA
Rfam family: Bacterial small subunit ribosomal RNA
Source: RNAcentral